UCCUCGGUAGCUCAGUUGGUGAAAGAGCUGGACUAGAGAUUCGGAGGUUGCGGGUUCGAUUCCCACUCGAGGAG
Harmonia axyridis is the source of this 74-nucleotide non-coding RNA. The record is from the annotation of a RefSeq genome assembly. NCBI's taxonomy places the organism in Eukaryota, Metazoa, Arthropoda, Insecta, Coleoptera, Coccinellidae.